UUAAGGGAGACCGAACCUGCCUUAUUGAUUCGACYAUUAUGUCGAGGUAAUAUCGAUGAGAUGGUCAACCAAAGGUCGAAUCGCUGGUCUUUUAGAUAUCUAGCUUUCAAACUAUAAAUUUGGUUCGGAAUUGGGCUAUUAGCUCAGGUGGUUAGAGCGCACCCCUGAUAAGGGUGAGGUCCCUGGUUCGAGUCCAGGAUGGCCCACCUGUAAAGAGUUAGGAGUUAAGAGUAAAGAGUGAGGAAUAAAAACCCUAGCUUCAAACUUGUAAACUAUAUAACUUUUUGUCGUGGGGGUUUAGCUCAGUUGGUAGAGCGCCUGCUUUGCAAGCAGGAUGUCAGCGGUUCGAGUCCGCUAACCUCCACUGAAAGAAAAAGAAAUUGGAAUGAUUUAGCACCUAAACUAGGGACAAAUAGUUAAUAGUUUAGAAUGCUGAAAUGAUUUUCAGCCAGAACCAUGAAAACUGCAUAGUGACGUAAUGUAAUGUAGGUAGCAAUUCUUCGACUACUGAGCAAUUUGUUGGUUGGUAACAACUGGGAGAUUGUGAGGAAGAACAAGAUUGAUGGCGUACAUUCACAGACAAAAAAUUGAUUUGAAGAAUU
This 602-nucleotide transfer RNA is filed under the name Macrochaete psychrophila TS40B/09. Its description in RNAcentral is "16S-23S ribosomal RNA intergenic spacer". The stretch from base 292 to 364 matches the Rfam family "tRNA". The record is from RNAcentral. Lineage: Bacteria; Bacillati; Cyanobacteriota; Cyanophyceae; Nostocales; Calotrichaceae.